This is a long non-coding RNA of Equus quagga, 1095 nucleotides long. RefSeq lists it as uncharacterized. The transcript is spliced from 3 exons. Lineage: Eukaryota; Metazoa; Chordata; Mammalia; Perissodactyla; Equidae. The record is from RefSeq and is a predicted model, not a curated record.
UUUGCGUUCUGCUGGCCAGCCCCUCGUCCAGGUGGAUGGCCCGGCAGCAAAGUUCUUAGCCCCUGCAGCGUGGCCUCCUAAUUUCACGCCAAGUUAAAAAUGCAGCCGAUCGCCCCCACACUUCCAACUUCAGAAACAGAACUUUUUGGCCCUGGGGUGUGCCAAGGAGAGUGAAGAAUGCCUAACUGCUGGCUCUUCCCCCUUAUCAAUUUAAAUAACCCGUCCUCCCCGGUGCUCUCGCCUGCCUCCAGGAUUCGGGCUUUGAAAGGGUGAGAAGGGGAGAGAGAGACGGACAGAGAGACAGAGAGAGAAAGAAAGAGAGAGAAGCGGUGCCAACCCCCUGCAACAAUAUAGCACCUUGGAAAUGGCGGGGUCAACGAAAACAGCUCGAGUAAGGACUGUGAUGGGAACUGGGCCCAGGUGAGAAGCAGAAGCAAGAUAAGUUAUCCACUAAAACAUGAGCAGGUCCAGGCCAAAGCAGCCCGACUGUGAAGCCCUGUGAAGAGGAGUAUUCCUGGGUUAACUCAGCGGACAGUUGUUAUGCACUGCGUUUUUCUUUCUCUCCUCUACCAAGUCCCCACUCUGAGCUCCACUCAAAUGUGUUUCUAACCAAACUGUCCAAGGUGCAUGGGGCUGGGGGAUGGGAAAUUGACGGAAGAAAGAAAGGUGGAGAGGUUUAAUUAUUUACAAAAUUCUAAGCUCCUUAGCUUUCCAUUAAAAUCUUGUUGAAAAAAUUUGAUUUCAGGCCAGCCCCAGUGGCCUGGUGGUUAAGUUCAGCAUGCUCCACUGUGGCGGCCCAGAUUCAGUUCCCACGUGCAGACCUACACCACUUGUCAGCCAUGCUGUGGCCGUGAGCCACAUCCAAAAUAGAGGAAGAUUGGCAGCAGAUGUUAGCUCAGGGCGACUCUGCCUCAGAAAAGCAAAUAAUAAUUUGAUUUCAAUGUGGUUCGUUAGGCUUUUAGCAUUUGUUUUAUGAUCUUUGACUAUAUCAAGAAUGAUUUUUUUAAAUAUAAGAAAUUUAAAUCUUUGAGAAAGCAGCAUAUUAUUUAAAUUUUAAGUAAUUACUAUUUAGCAGUAUAGAAAAUGAUACAAAAU